This 2935-nucleotide long non-coding RNA is filed under the name Paramuricea clavata. The record is from RNAcentral. Lineage: Eukaryota; Metazoa; Cnidaria; Anthozoa; Malacalcyonacea; Plexauridae.
UUUUCGGCCUUCCUAAUGCUCUAGUUACAGGGUUGCUUUUUUUAUCUCUCAAUACUGUUACUCUCAGUCUCUCAUCAUUAUAUAAGUUGACAGGGUUGUCAUUUAAAUUAAUUAAACAGCGUGAUUCCAGAGAUCUGGUGAAGACGAGGUUGCUGGCCAGUGGCCAAGUAUGGCCAUCUAGGAAAAUAACUUUCCUUCUUCAAUUUAAUUUCCAAUCUGUUCCCAAUAGGCAAUAUUAAUGCAGACUUGCGCAUGCACUGAAGUAUAUCCUUCUUUCAUAUUGGGAUAAUAAAGACAGAUGUACGUCACUGCAAGUCUGCAUUCACAACGUACAAACACUUAUGGCUACAGUUUUAAUCAUUACAGACAUUUGUUCAUUACAGACUCCACAAACAUUUUGGCAAUUAAAUGGGAAAAGGAAAUCCAAUGGCAAUGGAGGAAAUUUUGAAUUAUGAACGAAAGGAUUUCAUGUUCACUGAUGUAUAACAAGUAAUAUGGAGCUUUGUUAUGUUUACGAAAGUCUUGAGAAAGGGUUGUACUGUUUUUAUUUAUUUUGUGUAACAAUUAGGUUGAAGAAGACUGAGGUCAUGCCAUGAACCAGCACUGAAAGAUCAAAGAUCUCCAUUUGCGGAGAUCUUUGAAUAUAAACCCUCGAACAAGACGACAGUUAACCAUAAGUAUACGUUGUACACUAAAUUGCAAAGAAUAAAUUGCAAGAGUUGUUCAACCGUGGAACGCUUUGCCUAGUCAUGUUGCGGAAGCUGAAAAUCUUGCUAAGUUUAAGAGUCAGCUCGAACUGCACAUAAACUUGUUUUAAUUAAUCACUAAAUUAUUAUAGUAACAUUAAUUUUCUCAACUUUGUAUAUAUUAGUAAUUCGUUUUUAUUAUUUUGAGGAUCUUAUCAUAGGGCUAAACUCUAGAUUCUCCAGCAAGAACCUUAAUUUAUAUAUUAUAUUAUUAUUCCUAUAAUGUGUUAAGAUACCUUGAAUAAAUUUCUUGAUUGAUUGAUUUUGUUACUUAGGUAGCAUCCUGCAUGCAGUGGCGUAACGCUGUCAUUGGAUAAAUUGACCUUUUACGCGAAAUAAAGCCGCGAGGUGAAUUAUUCGUAAUAAGCUCAGAGGUAUAAAAGCUAGUCCAAAAUAAUCUGUUACUUAAUGAAAAUUGACUGCUUAUACGAGUUGUUUGUGACUCAUUUAGGCUGCAUCUUAUUUAAGGCAAUUUUAAGCUGAGACGUAUGACAAUACUUCCAGCUAGAUUGUGGACGACUCAAAUCAUUGCUCUUUUACAUGCCUCAAAUGUCGGGGCUUAACUCGAGCGUCGAAUAUUUUCAACGACUUCGAGUUAAUUAAGCCCCUCUUUUUUCUCGGGGCUUAACCACUGAUCUAAUCAGACUUGUUGGAACAACUUGUUGCGAGGCUUAACUCGAACUUUCUAAGUUGUUUAUUUUCUGUGUUGGACUGUUGGUGUUAUGUACUCAGGUGAAUAUGAUGCUUGUGAUGUUACCGUCUAAGUGUAUAUCCACACCGGGCAAGCUUGAAAAAUAUGCCUGGCCACGGUGGUUCGAUUCCCUCACUAACAUCACAAACAUCAUAUUCACCAGAGUGCAUAACACCACAGAAAAAAUCAUGAUUACUAUAGAUUGCAUUGAUAUCGAAGGAACUAGACUCAGUUCCGAAAAAAAAUAUCACAUUUUCGAACUGACCUGACCGCGUAGCGGUAGCUCAGUUGGCAGAGCAUUGGGCUAGUUUUCUAAGUUGUGUUUCUUUUUUCGAGUUAAGCCUCGACGAAAAUGGGUGUGGUUUGGGCGUGGUCGCGGCUUAAGGUGGUCUUCCACUCAAAAUUGAAAAAAGUUUAAAACUAGGUUAAAAUUAUAUAUUUUUGUACCCCUUGGAAGGUAAAGUGACACUGAAUAAAAUUAUGUUUGCGAUACACAUGUUGUUGCCAUGGUAACCAGGUUGGCCCCCAACUGUGAAAAACGGCCAUGUUUUGUGCAAAAGAUAACUUAAGAACCAGUGGUCUAAAAUUCUCAAAAAAAGGCUUAAAGUGUACAGAAAAGGUUGCUGUAUGUUCUGAACCACAAAAAUACUCAUAUAUUUUAUUAAAAGUAAAAAUAUAUGUGAAUUUUCCUAACAAAUGGAGAAUUUGGCCCGAGGCUAACAACAUGUCAAUCAUUUACUACAAUUAUGGUAUUUUUGUCAUUUUUGUUGGUUCAGAACACAAAGCAAUAUCAGAGCAAGCAUUUGUGAAAGUUUCAAAUAAUUACUACUAGUAUUUCUUGGGAUAUCCUUUUCGGAACAAUGCGGGUUGGCCAAAUUUCUGAAUUGGAACAAAUCACGUUUCAAAGUUUAAGAUAAUAUGUGGGCUCACUUAUCUAGAUAUCCCUCAUAAUUGGAGCUCAUUUUCAGCAAAAAUGUUUGAUGCAAUCUAAAAUGAGCCACAUGCAUAAGUUUCUCCCUCUUUUUCUUCAUCCUUGUCCCCCUUUUUCUUCUUCCUCCCACAUAGCACUUUUCUCGGUCCGCAAUCUUACAAUAUCUUGUUCCUUAUAGUCUGUCUUUUUACUUAUCAUAUCGUCAUAUCGAGAACAUUCAGCUUCACAUUAUUUCCCAGGAUUAAUGCCAAUGUUCUUCAGAACUUGAAUAGAAGCUUCACAUCCAACAUUGAAGUGGGCAAUAGCAUCAUGUACUCCAAGUUGCAGUACUUCUCCGACGCGUUUCUUUGACGUGUGUGUUGAUUACCAUAAUAAUUUCGCUUUUCCGAAUAACCAGAUCGAGCACGUCGCAUUUUAAACCAACUUUUAACACCAAACAAAUAGUAAUGAUGUGAAAAUUUAAAUUGCAAAUGAGGAAAUGCUUCGCCUGAACUUUCGCUGUUGAAAUCAGUUUACAGAAUCACUUUCCCAAACGAAAUACUUCAUGUAAACAUGUAUUAAAUGUCC